This 151-nucleotide non-coding RNA is filed under the name Micromonospora sp. Lineage: Bacteria; Bacillati; Actinomycetota; Actinomycetes; Micromonosporales; Micromonosporaceae. The record is from RNAcentral.
UCGCCGUCGGUACGGUCAUGACGCCAUCUGCGGCGUCGCGAGGGAAACCGGUGGGAAUCCGGUGCGGUCGCGCCACUGUGAGCGGCCUUCGUCUCGGUGAUGGGGACGAGGCCGCGAGUCAGGACGCUCCUUCGUCGCAGUCCUUUCGUAG